Molecule: long non-coding RNA, 132 nt
Organism: Rhipicephalus sanguineus (brown dog tick)
Lineage: Eukaryota; Metazoa; Arthropoda; Arachnida; Ixodida; Ixodidae
Exons: 3
Source: RefSeq, a predicted model, not a curated record
UUCAGGAAGAUUGUCCUGCUGUGGAGACCACAGAUGAAGAUCACACCUGUGUUCAAGAAGAUUGGCCUGCUGUGGAGACCACAGAUGAAGUGCCACAAGAUGACCUCCUUGAACAGUUCGCCGCAAUCGUGU